GCUGCAGGUCCUAUCACUGGUGACCAAGGAGAAUUGGCUGGCCUGGCUUGCUGAAGCUGCGAUGCAAGCACUAGAGCUAACAUGAAGAAAGCAUCAGGAGGACACAUCCACAAGCUGCACUACUCUCUUUGGAAAUAGCGAGGUCUUAGAUCAGCCACUAAGAAGAGCACAGAAAUCAAACAUCCUGAUUUGGGAGCUGAUCAUCUUCACUUCUCAGCAGUACUUCUUCCAGGAGAAUGCUUCAACUGCUUCUGGGGUUGCAGAGUUCCUUCCAGGAUGAAGAACAGUAAAGAGGGAAAAAAGAGCACAGCAGGGCAAAGAGAAAGGAAAACUGGCUCUUGGAUCUGUAUGCUUCUCACUGCUCUGUGAAUACAUCAUCUCUGCAGCACACCUGAACUCCACUGACCCUGGCACAGACCAGCUCUCAGAUGGUGGCCUUCUGUGGCAGUUGCCAAACUACUGGACCUGAGUACAUAUUGCUUCUGACCAUCCUUAAUCAUGUUAGACAAAAACAGCCCAAAGAACACAAAACAGAGGAAAGACCUGGAAAUAUGACUUGCCCAAACAGGACUGGAAUCUCAGAAAAUUUAAAGCUGCAUGCAAAAAGAUGAUUUAAAGAAAAAAUAUUUGUAAUGAGUUUGAAUGAUUCUAAUUAAUUAUAUGGAUCUGGAUAAAUAAAAUUACCAGAAAUGCAAUCUAAAAAUCAGAGCAGGCUAUUACAACACUUACGUGGAAUAAGAUGUGUAAGCUAUACUUCACAACUGUUUACAUUUAACAGGCCCGCAAGGAAAUUCAUUUACUUACCAUAAAACAUACAAGUUCUUAAUAUGCUCCCAUCUCUAAACUGCAGUUUUCAUGUGCACUAAAAAUGAAUUGAUUUAUUUCUUGAUAGUGACUGAUAAUGGUCAUUGCUGACAAUUAGCAAGAAAGCAAUAUAUGCAAAGAGUAUCAACUGCUAUUAUUUCCAAAUAUUUUAUUAAAUGCAUUUUGUAAACUAAACAUUGGGCAUUUCUUAUAAUUUCAAUGUCCCUUUUAUUUUGUGAUUCAUAUUUAAAAUUGAAAAUUUAACAAAUCUCUCCAGGUGAUCUUUGAUGUCUGUAUCUGCAGAAGUUUCUUGUAGAUAAUCACGCAGGAUAAAGAGAGAAUACUUAACUGUUACAGUUAACUGCCCUGUAGCAAUAGCUCCAUGCAUUGCACCUGUGUGGUAAAUUUCGUGAUAAAUUUUACUUGUGUGUUUUUAUAUUAGCACAUGCAUUCUCAGACCAGUGUUAUCAGGAAUCUUCUAGCAAGAGAGUGGAUGCUAGAAUGUAACGAGCAACAGAAAACAGCAUUCAAAGAAAUCAGUGUUUAUGGGACUGAAUCUUAAUACAGUUGAACAGCAAUCCUGAGCAGACAAAUUACUUCCCUUCUGUAGUGUAAAAAGUGCAAAAAAUUAUUUAGCAGUCUUCUGCACUAUCCAGUUUAAACUUGUAUGUCCAGAAAUCAGUUGAAAAGCUCUUACUAUCUUCAGUGGAACAGAAUAAACCCUCAGAUACAUAUCCAAAGGGGUGCUCUUAAUGUAUAUUGUAUAUUAUCUAUUCUCUAUAGCAAAGUUAGCUUCGGAACUCUCUUAAGAUUAUACCAAAAUUGAUUAGAGAGUCUGAAUCCCCUUUGAAUGCAUUAGAUUUAUACCAGAGUAGCUUUUCCUGGCCCAGAGCUUAGCAGACUGCUGCAG
Long non-coding RNA from Cygnus olor (mute swan), 1714 nucleotides. RefSeq lists it as uncharacterized. NCBI's taxonomy places the organism in Eukaryota, Metazoa, Chordata, Aves, Anseriformes, Anatidae. The transcript is spliced from 6 exons. The record is from RefSeq and is a predicted model, not a curated record.